GCACUUCACAUAUACUCAUGCUGACUUCUACACUAGAAGUUACGCAAAAAUAUGAAUUCCAUCCACAUAAAAAUACUUCAUCCAUGAGACAUGACUCUCUCCCAUCAUUAUGCAAAAAGAUAUGAGCUAUGCAAAAAUAAGAAAAAGGAGAAAAAGAAAUAAAUAUCCUGCUCAAAAGCAUGAGAGAAAAAAGAGAGAAAGAAAUAGAAAAACAUAAAGAAAGAAAGAUAGCCCGUAUCCCAAAAAGAAAUAAGAGGGGAGUCAUGCAAAAAGGAGUUCAAAUAAAUUCCACUAAAAUUCCACACAUAUGCACUUGUUGAUCACAUUGUAUGACUUGCACCUCCUCAGAUCCACUAUUUGACUUUGCAACAUUAUGUGAUACAAGUAUGCAUCAUUUCAUAUCCUACCCAAAACCCCAUAAAAGCCUAUUAGAUGUAGGAUGAAAAGAGGCAACUUCAUGCCUUGGUGAGGACUAUACACAUUUGAGUCAUCGAGAGGCAUCAUAUGAGGAACUUGCUUUCAUUAAAAAAACUUAUCAAAAACCUCCAAAAACAUAGUUGAACAAGGAGUAAGAGAAUGGUGACUUUAUAUAACUGUUCUAUCAUAUAACCGCCCAAGACAAGGAAAAGCUUGACUUUAUAUAACUGUUCUAUCAUACA
RNAcentral lists this long non-coding RNA (659 nucleotides) under Setaria viridis. Its description in RNAcentral is "long non-coding RNA (SVIR_LNC004246)". The record is from RNAcentral. Lineage: Eukaryota; Viridiplantae; Streptophyta; Magnoliopsida; Poales; Poaceae.